AGUGAACGCUGGCGGUAGGCCUAGCACAUGCAAGUCGAACGGCAGCACAGUAAGAGCUUGCUCUUACGGGUGGCGAGUGGCGGACGGGUGAGGAAUACAUCGGAAUCUACUUUUUCGUGGGGGAUAACGUAGGGAAACUUACGCUAAUACCGCAUACGACCUACGGGUGAAAGCAGGGGAUCUUCGGACCUUGCGCGAUUGAAUGAGCCGAUGUCGGAUUAGGUAGUUGGCGGGGUAAAGGCCCACCAAGGCGACGAUCCGUAGCUGGUCUGAGAGGAUGAUCAGCCACACUGGAACUGAGACACGGUCCAGACUCCGACGGGAGGGAGCAGUGGGGAAUAUUGGACAAUGGGCGCAAGCCUGAUCCAGCCAUACCGAGUGGGUGAAGAAGGCCUUCGGGUUGUAAAGCCCUUUUGUUGGGAAAGAAAAGCAGCAGGUUAAUACCCCGCUGUUCUGACGGUACCCAAAGAAUAAGCACCGGCUAACUUCGUG
Molecule: ribosomal RNA, 492 nt
Filed under: uncultured bacterium
Lineage: Bacteria
Description: partial 16S ribosomal RNA
Rfam family: Bacterial small subunit ribosomal RNA
Source: RNAcentral